GACGAACGCUGGCGGCGCGCUUAACACAUGCAAGUCGAACGGAAAGGCCUGCUUUCCCUUGUGGAUUGCGGGUACUCGAGUGGCGAACGGGUGAGUAACACGUGAGUGAUCUGCCCCCAACUUGGGUAUAAGCCUGGGAAACUGGGUCUAAUUCCCGAUAGGACUGCAGGGUGGUGCCUGUGGUGGAAAACGAUUUUCUAGUGGUUGGGGAUGAGCUCGCGGCCUAUCAGCUUGUUGGUGGGGUAAUGGCCUACCAAGGCGGCGACGGGUAGCCGGCAUGAGAGGGUGGACGGCCACAUUGGGACUGAGAUACGGCCCAGACUCCUACGGGAGGCAGCAGUGGGGAAUAUUGCACAAUGGGCGGAAGCCUGAUGCAGCGACGCCGCGUGGGGGAUGACGGCCUUCGGGUUGUAAACUCCUUUCGACCGCGAGGAAGCCACCUGGUUGGAAGGGUGGUGACGGUAGUGGUAGAAGAAGCACCGGCUAACUACGUG
This 494-nucleotide ribosomal RNA is filed under the name uncultured bacterium. Its description in RNAcentral is "partial 16S ribosomal RNA". It matches the Rfam family "Bacterial small subunit ribosomal RNA", at positions 28 to 507 of the family's 1533-position model. The record is from RNAcentral.